This is a long non-coding RNA of Gossypium raimondii (Peruvian cotton), 1961 nucleotides long. RefSeq lists it as uncharacterized. NCBI's taxonomy places the organism in Eukaryota, Viridiplantae, Streptophyta, Magnoliopsida, Malvales, Malvaceae. The record is from RefSeq and is a predicted model, not a curated record. The transcript has 3 exons.
UUAGUUAAAGCUCACAUUCGUCAAAGUCUUCUGUCCUCAUUAAUGCUUCUUCGCAUCUUGAGAUAUUCUCUACAUAUUUCCCUAAUUUAGUUAGAAGCUUCAUUGUUGCUCUUCUUCUCUACCAAAUUAUAAGCAUGUCAUAUUUAAAAGCCAAACUCCCAUUGUUUGGUCACCUAAUGGCCACUUUUGCUUUAUUUCUUAUUCUAUUCUCUGGUGCUUCUCUUGCUAAUCUUAUUAACCAGGAUUGUGGCUCUACUUUUUUGUGGGAAUUUGAAUAUCAGUUAUCCAUUGCGAUAAAAAAAUCAACCUCCCCAGUGUGGUUACUAUAACCUGGAACUUGAGUAUGAGAAUAACAAUCGCACCACUUUGGUUUUAAGAGAAGGAAAAUUCUCUGUCCAAAAUAUUUUUUACGAAAACAAAACAAUCCACGUGAUAGAUUCGAGCCUGGAGAAGGAUGAUUGCAACUCCCUUCCUCUUAGUUCCAUAUACUGAAAGUGGGGGUUCCAAUUAUGGUUAAGAAUAUAUCAGGCAUGUCUACAUUGGCUAUCUACAACAAGCUAUCUAAGGGAUUUUACCUUUCAUGGUAUUACAGCGAGAACUACUACGAACUAUCUCUAUUGCAAUAUCUGAAAAGGGCCUUGCACCACUUCCUUUACGGAAUUCACGGAAUAGGCUUCGUUACUAUUGUAGGUAUGCAUAUGGCCUCACUUUUAUAUCUACCCAACAUUAAGCUUCGUUCCGUUUUAAAUUUUUUUUUUUCAUUUUUCAUUUUUGUAUAUACCAGAAUGGAUUUAGAAUGGCAGAUUGGCAUUCUAAAUCCAUUUAAAAUUUUUGUAUAUACCAGAAUGGAUUUAGAAUGGCAGAUUGCCACUUCGUUGUCAUUGUAUCUAUCUUGAAUCAUGCACUCCUUUCCAUUCAUAUAUUUCUCCAAAAAUAAUAUUGUUUCAGCCAACCUCAGUUCAUCCUUUCUAGGAGAUCAUUAUUGAGAAAAAACAGAACCAUUCAAGUUUAAUUUUAGGAAAAUUAAAAGAUUCUUUAUAUCUAUUUUAGUUUUAUCCUGUUUGAUUUGGAAAGAAUGUCACGGGGCUAGACCUUUCGUCUCGCAAACCGUGCGGCCUUAGGCGAUCCGUUUGCUCCAAACUCGCCUAAGUCAGCCUUUACGCCCAAAAGUGAGGAUUCCUUAGAACUCCUCCAAGGCACCAAUUUGUAUAGCGGAAGCGAUUGUGCCAAAAGAAGCUACAAGAGAACAACAGAAAGAGCGCUCGCAAAGUGUUUGAGUAAAUGCUCUCAAUUCUUAUUCACAAAGAAUAAUGAAACAAUUCAGUUAUUAAUAAGAAUUUUGAGAGUAUUCACUCAAACUUUUCUCUCAAGUGUUCUUGUUUUUGUUCUUAUUUCAAGGCUCGUUCUUACUUCGUUCUUCUGCUGUUCUUCGUGGAAACCUUAAGGGAAUUCUGUUGAAUCCUUUAUUGUUGUGAGUUAAGCUGACUUGGGCAUUUUACUGUUGAAUCCUUUAUUACUGCAAGUUAGGCUAACACAAGGGAACAAUGGGAAUAUCAAAUAAUUAAAGGGUAAACUACCAAAAUAGUCACUUUUGUUUGCCUUAGGUUACAUUUUAGUCACUUAUAUUUGAAAUGUUACGUUUUAGUCACUUACGUUAUCGUGUUGUAACAUUUUAGUCACUGAUAGACCUGUCCAUGGGCCGGGCGGCCCGGCCCGACCCGAUGGCCCGCCCGAAAUAUGGGAGGGUUUGGGUAAAAAUAUAGGCCCGAAAUAUGGGCUUGGGCAAAAUUUUGGGCCCGUUUAAAAAAUGGGCAGGGCCUCGGGCAAGAUUUUUUUGGCCCGGGCCCGGCCCGAAAAAUAUUAAAUAUAUAUAUUUUUUAUUUUUAAAAUAUAAUAGUUUUUUAUUUUAAGUUUAUUUACUUUCAUUUCCUUGACUAGUAUUACAAAAUAAUAAUAAUAAA